CAAACAUCACGAGAACCACUCCGUCUAUUGUGAUAAAAUAACCAUGAACUACGUAACGACAGGUCAGCUGCUGGUGGAAAAUUCAAAUCUUGCGACGGAGCUCUGCCACUCGCGCGUUUAUUUUUUUUUUAAAUACAUCGCGAUUUUUUUCCAAUCGAUUUUUAUUUUGCUUUCACUUGUUUUUCGCCCGGACUUGGGCGCAAAUGUUUUUAAUGCCGGCGCAGUACACAUCGCACGGUACAGAUAAAGAUAAACGAUACGCGUGCCGUAUAGGGAUAGGUAUACAGCGUAUAGGCAGACGACGGUGUCCGGGUACGGAUACUAAGUCCGGGCGAGCGGGCGGAAUCGAUUGUGUCCCACUCCCCCGUCGUCGUAAUAACUAACGAGUAAUACGAGGGCGCGAAUACCAC
Molecule: non-coding RNA, 410 nt
Organism: Cinara cedri
Lineage: Eukaryota; Metazoa; Arthropoda; Insecta; Hemiptera; Aphididae
Source: the annotation of a GenBank genome assembly